This is a long non-coding RNA of Bombus terrestris (buff-tailed bumblebee), 320 nucleotides long. RefSeq lists it as uncharacterized. The transcript is spliced from 2 exons. NCBI's taxonomy places the organism in Eukaryota, Metazoa, Arthropoda, Insecta, Hymenoptera, Apidae. The record is from RefSeq and is a predicted model, not a curated record.
AGGUGGUGUACCAUACCCAAUCAAGAAUGUCCUGGAAAGGAUAUUAAUGUCACGUAUUCAUUUUCAAAAUCUUAUUAAGAUAAAGUAAAGAAAACAAAUCAUGAUACAUUACAUCAAAUAUACCAGGUGUAUGUUCAUCGUCCAAACUUUUCUUUGGAUUAAUAAACAUAGGAACUUCAGGAUUUCCUUCACCUACUACCAACAACUCGAUAGCAAAUCUGCUGUUAGUGAAGCUUUUAUUAGUUUGUAAAUGAUCAAGAAUGAUAUCAACUUGGGUAGAAUUCUCAGUAUGUAACAUGUGAGGCAUAAAUUCUGAGUGA